AGUGGCCCUGGUUCCCCAUGACAAAAGAAAAAAAGAAUACCUGCAAGAAGUAAGUUGAAGAUAAGGAGUGAGGAGAAGGAAGGUUAGCGGUAAAGCCACCAGUGAUUCUAACAGCAAAGGGACAAGAAAAAAGACUGGAACUUUAUUUAGAGCAUAAAGCUGAUGCUUGGCUUGCCCUCUUGCUCAGAUGGGACCUCAGCUAUGAGGGAAACCAACUUCUGUGUCAUGAGGACAUUCAGGCAGCACUAUGGAGCCGUCCAUGUGGCUAGGAGCUGAAACUGAGCCAAGAAGCAGUGAGGAACUGGCUGGUAACAGCCAUGUGGAUAAGCCAUCUGAGAAGUGCAUGCUCUAGUCUCAGUCAAGCCUUCAGAAGACUGUGGCACCUGACAUCUCAACUGCAACCUCAUUAGAAACUCAAGACAGAACAGCCAGAGAAGCUGUUCCUGAAUUUCUGACCCACAGAAACUGUGUCAAAUAGAUAUUUAUUAUUGUUUUGAGCCCUGAGUUUUUGGAGUGACUUGUUGCUCCGAAUAUGUUAGAUAAUAUAUUAUAUAUGUAAGGUAACAUUCAGUUUUGAUAUUUUCACAAGCAUGAUCAGUUAUUUCAGCACUAUUUAAGAAUUUCUUUCUAUCUUCUGUUAUCAGCAAGAUCAGCUGUGUCAUAAAUUAAGUUUCCAGUUACAUGUAGAUUUGAUUCCGGACUCUUUAUUCUGUUUCACAGGUCACUUUGCUUAUCCUUGAGUGAAUACUUCAUUAUUUAAUUAUUAUAUAUAUAUGUGUGAUAAAGCAUAUGGUUUGCUAUAGUCUUACUUAUUUUUAACCCCUUUGUCUUUUAUAUCUUUAGAAUCAGCUUGACAUUCCUUACAAGAAAAUCCAUUGGGUUUUGAGUGGAAUUACAUUGAGUAUAAGUACCAGUUGGGGGAAAAUUGAUAUCUUCAGUAUGUUGAAUCUUUUAAUCCAUUUGUAAUCCAUGCUGUGUCAUUGUUUUUAUUUGGAGUUGUCUUUCAAAAUGUUUUACAGUUUUCUUUGCAAAGGUCACAUACAUCUUUUGUUAGUUCCAUUACCAGGUAUUUCAUUUUUAUAUACAUGAAUGAAAUAUUAAUAGAUUUUUAAAGAAAUAAAAUUUAAAAUAGCAUAAGAUAUAUCAAAUUGCUCAAGUCAGAAACUGGCACAUAGUAAAUACAUGAUGAAUAUCCUAAAGCAGAUGUAUGAAUGAAUAAAUAAAUGGAUGAAUGGAUGAAUAUGAGACCCAGUAUGCAUAUCUGUAACCGAUUAUUUCAGAUACCAUUCUGCUUAGGUAUUCAUUAUUCUCGAGGGAUUUUCUCUCCACAAUAAGAAACCUUGAUGUUUCCAGUUCUUACCUCAGUAUGCCACUGAUAAAGUAAAACAGAUCUGAAGGAAUAGUUUCAAAGAGAUGUAAAAUGACAUCUUGUCAACUUGUUUUUUUCCUUUUUCAUGACUCCUUUUUCUUCUUUCUAACUUUUGGCAUCUAUAAUGGAGAUUUCCUUCCAAGCAUAUUUAGUUCAACUUAAAUAUACUUCAUUGAGGCUUUGGCAAACCUUUUCGCGUAUAAGGAUAAUACAGAAUUAUCUAUUUUUCUGUAGUUUGUUUUACUGCUGCUGUUAUUGUUGUUUUAUUUUGUUUGCUAUAAAGUUAAGCCUCUUGUUCAAUGGAAAAUAUGAUCAAAAAUAAUUUUCAAAAAUUAUUUAAGGGCCCCAUCAUUACAGCAAUCAUUAGUCCUACUGUGUAUGAAAUUUCUAAGUAUUUCUAAAUGCUCAACCCUAGACAUUCCCUUCACUGAUAUUUUUAAAGUGCUUUCAGUACCUUGGCCAUUUAAUAACUUAUGUUCUUUUUUCAAAAUCUUAGGAAGAAAUUGCAUUUUGGAAUUGGGCCAAUAGUAUGUGUUUCUCCGGUAGAUAAGCAAAAUUUCAUAAGAACAAAGAUGAUUCAAGCAGAUGUUUAUCACGAAACUGUGAGAAAAAGCACCCAAAGUCACAAAGAUAAACAUUAAAUCCAGUCUUUGGAAAUUUCCCCCACCAUACCUGAGCAUCUUUUGAAGCAGAUAUUCAAUUAUUUUGAAGCAUUUUUAAAGAAUUUCUUAGAUUUUAUCUAAGAGACACUUUUGAAAUCUUAGUUAAAAUUCAUGGAAAUAUAUCCUAGAUGACUUUGGAUAACUGUCAGCAAGUAGGUAAGAACCUUUAUUUUAUCCCUCAGUGACUCACUCAGCUGUGAAUGGCUCUCUGUGAUCUGGUCACAGCUUAUUUCUUGCCACAUCCUAUUUUCAAUCCUCUUCCAAUCAUGUGGAACUUCCAGCAUCUCCUUACACAUGCCAUGUUAUUUUACACUUUUGUGACUUUGCUCAUAUUGUUCUCUCUCCCUGGAAAGCUCCCCGACAAACUCCACUGCCGUUACCCACUAGGCAAGUACGUCCUGUUUUCAGAAGCAGCCCAAUAUCACCUUUCCUACCUAGGGAAUCUUGUCAGACUGCCCUUCAUUACUAACAGACAAAAUAACUACCUUAUCUUUGGUACUCUCUCUCUUCACUCUAGACCUAUGUAGCAUGCUACCUGUAAUAUUGUAUUGGUUUGUUUGCAUUUGUGUUUCCACUGAGCAACGAUAAAUUAUGUAUAGACAAAAAUCGUAUUGCUCACGUUUGGAUUACUAGCAGUGUUCUGAUUCAGAGUAUGUACUCAAUAAAUUCAUCUUGAAAAGUGAAUGAAUGAAUAAAUGAACUCCUAUAUCUCCAUCAUUGAUUUACUAUUUAAUCAGUGAAGUUUUUAAAUUAUAUUCUCCCAUAUCUUGAGAUUUAGUCUUGUGUUAAAUCAGUUGCACACAUUAGACAUUACUUUGUCCUUUUCACUUCUUCUUAGCACAUAUGGGAUAUAUAAUCUUUAUAAAGGUUAAAGAAAUAUAUUGUAAUAUGUUAUAAUACAAUAAAGGUACAUCUGAAACAACAUAGUGCAGACACUGUUUCCAAUGUUGGACAUUAUGCUGGAGUAAAACUUAAAGAAUCUUGGAAAGAAGAAAUACUUAAAUAAUGUCACCAGUGUAAUGUGCCACAUUGUAAUGGUGUUAUGCGUAUUACAUAUCUUGUCUAGUAAUGCACAAAAAGCCUAAAGGAUUUUUUCAUAUUUUCCUCAUGUGAAAAUGAAAACACUGAGUCUCAGAGAGAUUAAAUAAAUUGCCAAGUGUUGUGUCAAGCGAUUUUGAUCCUGGUCUUUCUAAUAUAAAAGUCCAUGUUUUAAAUUAUUAACUGUUUAACAUAUAACAAUGAUAGAUCAUUACAUGGUAAUAUAAAUAUAUAAGUGAACACGAAUUAUAUUUUUACUUCUGCAUUCAAUCAAGUGCAAUAUGUCGUUUUGGUUGAUGGAUACAGAAAAAACUCAACAUCUUGCAGACAUUAGGUUGAAAAAGAGGACAUUUUUAUAUCCGUUUCAGGUAAACAUAUAUAUUUUUCUUUGAUACUACACCAAAAUUUGACAAGUGACCAUUUCUUAAAGGGUAGUAGCAGCAUGAAAUCCAAAGUAACAUCAACAAACUUUUCGUUCUCUAUUACACUAAAA
Piliocolobus tephrosceles (Ugandan red Colobus) is the source of this 3562-nucleotide long non-coding RNA. RefSeq lists it as uncharacterized. Lineage: Eukaryota; Metazoa; Chordata; Mammalia; Primates; Cercopithecidae. The record is from RefSeq and is a predicted model, not a curated record. The transcript has 2 exons.